This is a small nuclear RNA of Cucurbita maxima (winter squash), 131 nucleotides long. RefSeq annotates it as U4 spliceosomal RNA. Lineage: Eukaryota; Viridiplantae; Streptophyta; Magnoliopsida; Cucurbitales; Cucurbitaceae. The record is from RefSeq and is a predicted model, not a curated record. The transcript has a single exon.
AUCUUUGCGCUUGGGGCAAUGACGCAGCUAGUGAUGGUCUAACCGAGGCGCGUCAAUUGCUGGUUGAGAACUACUUCCAAACCCCCUCGUAGGCCUGGGUUCUCUGAAAGGGCUCCCUUUGGGGUAAAGCC